Molecule: long non-coding RNA, 1095 nt
Filed under: Marmota monax (woodchuck)
Lineage: Eukaryota; Metazoa; Chordata; Mammalia; Rodentia; Sciuridae
Source: RNAcentral
CUAUCCUAAGUUUUGAGACUUCUUAGCAUUGGAAAUUGUACAUGUAAAGUAUUCAUGGAGAAAGAAUGAAUGCUUUGGAGAAAAUAGUUUUUUAAUAGGUCUUCUCAUUAAGAAAAGUCUGUUUAUAUCUCUGAUGCUGCUUUUUUAGAUUUUAUUAUACCUUUAAAACCAGGAAGGAGGAGCUGGGGUUGAUGCUCAGUGGUGGAACGCUUGCUUAGCAUAUGUGAGGCACUGGGUUUGAUUCUCAGCAACUCAUAUAAAUAAAUUAACAAAAUAAAGGCCCAUCAACGGCUAAAAAAAAAUAUUUUUUAAAAAAUUCAGGAAGGAAAAACAACAAGAAAGCCAAUGCCCAGAUCUCUAAAAAGCACUGAUUUUGAUGAUAAGGUCAUACUAAGUGGUAGAGCUGUUGCCUAGCAUGUACAAGGCCCUUGGUUCAAUCCUUAGCAACACCAAACACACAAGAGGGAAGCAGCAUUAAGUAUGGGAAAAAAAUAGGUUAGGGUGAGAUAAUGGAAAGCCACAAAUGAUAAGAAUCUUCAACUUUGGUAUUGACAAUAUGGUUUCCUCUCCCAGAACUUCAGAAACUUUCACCAGACAGCUUGGACAUUUUAGAUAGAAUAAGCUACAGAUAACUUUUACUAACCUAGUUGGAUGAUAUCAGUGAGAAACUGCAAAUUAAAGAGUUUUUUCCUAUCUCCUUUUCCCAAAUAUACUGAUGUUUUUGCCUCUGCCAUUCAUUCCUCCCUUUUCUGGUAGCAAAACCUUGGUUUUCUCUUGGGAAAGCACCCUUUCACUAUGGAGUUCAAAUGAGGCAGAAUAGCCUCCAGAAUGGAUAUGUGAAUCAAGUCCUGCCAAUUCUGGAAAUUGUUAAAAUUUACAGACAUAUUUUCUACUAGCAUUACCUUUAAAGAUGAGGUGAGUCUGGAGUUAAAUGUGAGAGUAGCUGGCUGCCUGACAGAAUAAACUUGAUACAAAAAAAAGCAGAAAUGAAGGCCGGGGUUGUAUCUCAGUGGUAGAGUGCUCACCUGGCAUGCAUGAGGUACUGGGUUCGAUUCUCAGCACUGCAUAUAAAUAAAGAUCCAUCAACAAUUAUAA